AUACGUAGGGGGCGAGCGUUGUCCGGAAUUACUGGGCGUAAAGGGCGUGUAGGCGGCCUGUCAAGUCAGGGGUGAAAGCCCGGGGCUCAACUGCGGGUGUGCCCUUGAGACUGAUGGGCUUGAGUGCUCCAGAGGGCAGUGGAAUUCCCGGUGUAGCGGUGAAAUGCGUAGAGAUCGGGAGGAACACCAGUGGCGAAGGCGGCUGCCUGGGGAGCAACUGACGCUGAGGCGCGAAAGCUGGGGGAGCAAACAGGAUUAGAUACCCUGGUAGUCCCAGCCGUAAACGAUGAGUGCUAGGUGUGAGGGGUAUCGACCCCCCUCGUGCCGUAGCUAACGCAAUAAGCACUCCGCCUGGGGAGUACGGCCGCAAGGUUGAA
This 377-nucleotide ribosomal RNA is filed under the name uncultured bacterium. RNAcentral describes it as "bacterial SSU rRNA". It matches the Rfam family "Bacterial small subunit ribosomal RNA", at positions 523 to 898 of the family's 1533-position model. The record is from RNAcentral.